Molecule: transfer RNA, 76 nt
Filed under: Streptomyces phage Shaeky
Lineage: Duplodnaviria; Heunggongvirae; Uroviricota; Caudoviricetes; Colingsworthviridae
Description: tRNA-Thr
Rfam family: tRNA
About the family: Transfer RNA (tRNA) molecules are approximately 80 nucleotides in length. Their secondary structure includes four short double-helical elements and three loops (D, anti-codon, and T loops). Further hydrogen bonds mediate the characteristic L-shaped molecular structure. tRNAs have two regions of fundamental functional importance: the anti-codon, which is responsible for specific mRNA codon recognition, and the 3' end, to which the tRNAs corresponding amino acid is attached (by aminoacyl-tRNA synthetases). tRNAs cope with the degeneracy of the genetic code in two manners: having more than one tRNA (with a specific anti-codon) for a particular amino acid; and 'wobble' base-pairing, i.e. permitting non-standard base-pairing at the 3rd anti-codon position.
Source: RNAcentral
GCCUCUAUAGCUUCAACUGGAUAGAGCGCCCGUUUCGUAAUCGGGAGGUUGGGGGUUCGAAUCCCUCUAGGGGCCC